Molecule: ribosomal RNA, 459 nt
Filed under: uncultured bacterium
Lineage: Bacteria
Description: partial 16S ribosomal RNA
Rfam family: Bacterial small subunit ribosomal RNA
Source: RNAcentral
CCUACGGGAGGCAGCAGUGAGGAAUAUUGGUCAAUGGCCGCAGGGCUGAACCAGCCAAGUCGCGUGAGGGAUGACGGUCCUAUGGAUUGUAAACCUCUUUUGUCAGGGAGCAAAGGGCGCCACGUGUGGCGCUUUGCGAGUACCUGAAGAAAAAGCAUCGGCUAACUCCGUUCCAGCAGCCGCGGUAAUACGGAGGCUGCGAGCGUUAUCCGGAUUUAUUGGGUUUAAAGGGUGCGCAGGCGGAAUGUCAAGUCAGCGGUAAAAUUUCGGGGCUCAACCCCGUCGUGCCGUUGAAACUGGCGUUCUUGAGUGAGCGAGAAGUAUGCGGAAUGCGUGGGGUAGCGGUGAAAUGCAUAGAUAUCACGCAGAACUCCGAUUGCGAAGGCAGCAUACCGGCGCUCAACUGACGCUCAUGCACGAAAGCGUGGGUAUCGAACAGGAUUAGAUACCCCAGUAGUC